AAAAAGACAAAUCAUAAGUUUCUGUGUCCAACUUUGACUGUCCGUCUUAUAUGAUAUUUUUUUAUAAUUCGUAUUUUCAUUGUUGUUAGAUGAUAAAACAUGAUUAAUAUUUCAUGCGUGACUUGUCUUUUUAAUUUUUUUCAUAUUUUUUUUAUAAAUAAGACGGACGGUCAAACGUUGGGCACGGAAACCUGGGUUUGUCUUUUUU
Molecule: non-coding RNA, 208 nt
Organism: Oryza barthii
Lineage: Eukaryota; Viridiplantae; Streptophyta; Magnoliopsida; Poales; Poaceae
Source: Rfam